RNAcentral lists this ribosomal RNA (315 nucleotides) under uncultured bacterium. Its description in RNAcentral is "bacterial SSU rRNA". It matches the Rfam family "Bacterial small subunit ribosomal RNA", at positions 29 to 369 of the family's 1533-position model. The record is from RNAcentral.
AGCGAACGCUGGCGGCAGGCUUAACACAUGCAAGUCGAGCGGGCGUAGCAAUACGUCAGCGGCAGACGGGUGAGUAACGCGUGGGAACGUACCUUUGGUUCGGAACAACCCAGGGAAACUUGGGCUAAUACCGGAUAAGCCCUUACGGGGAAAGAUUUAUCGCCAAAAGAUCGGCCCGCGUCUGAUUAGCUAGUUGGUGAGGUAACGGCUCACCAAGGCGACGAUCAGUAGCUGGUCCUGAGAGGAUGAUCAGCCACAUUGGGACUGAGACACGGCCCAAACUCCUACGGGAGGCAGCAGUGGGGAAUCUUGCGC